UCUCUCUGAAUCUGCGAACGGCUCCGCAAACCAGUUGUAAACCAUAGCAAGCACGCCUUGGGCCGCCGCAAGGCGGUCCUUGGCUAUAAGGAUAACCCUGGUAAUUCUGAGGCUAAUACAUGAACGUAACCCCCGGCCGACGGGCAACUGGAAGCCGGGGACCGUGCGAGUAGGCGCAACAUUUUAUCGGAGUAGUCGCACAGUACGACCACCAUCCAAACGGUAUCCGCUUCGCUGCCUCACGGCGGCUGGCGGUGUCCGGGUGGCUCUUGCAAGGUGCUUCUGACCUAUCAACUAGAUGGCAGCGUAACGGACAUGCUAUGGUGACAACGGGUACAGAGGAUAAGGGUUCGAUCCUGGAGAGUGGGCCUGAGAGAUUGCUCACACUUCUAAGGAAGGCAGCAGGCGCGCAACGUUCCCCUUGGGCAAAGCUCGAGGGCGUUAGGGGACAUAUGAAUGCCUGCCUUAUGGUGGGCAAUUCAAAUGGGUCUGUUCUAAACAGCCUCUCGA
This 510-nucleotide ribosomal RNA is filed under the name Aethaliopsis melanospora. Its description in RNAcentral is "Badhamia melanospora SSU rRNA". It matches the Rfam family "Eukaryotic small subunit ribosomal RNA", at positions 76 to 540 of the family's 1831-position model. Lineage: Eukaryota; Evosea; Eumycetozoa; Physariida; Physaraceae. The record is from RNAcentral.